AGCUUGUCAUGCUAGAGCACUUUUUCAAUGAGCUCCCCAACGACAAGACGACAACGCAUUCGUAUGUCAUCCAUAUAAACUUUCGAUGCCACUUUCUGCGCCUACAAUGGUGACAAUGGGUAACGGGGAAUCAGGGUUCGAUUCCAGAGAGGGAGCCUGAGAAACGCCUACCACAUGCAAGGAAGGCAGCAGGCGUGCAAAUGACCCACUUCCGACGCGGGAAGGUA
Molecule: non-coding RNA, 227 nt
Organism: Pelobates cultripes (western spadefoot toad)
Lineage: Eukaryota; Metazoa; Chordata; Amphibia; Anura; Pelobatidae
Source: the annotation of a GenBank genome assembly